Molecule: ribosomal RNA, 465 nt
Filed under: Vreelandella stevensii
Lineage: Bacteria; Pseudomonadati; Pseudomonadota; Gammaproteobacteria; Oceanospirillales; Halomonadaceae
Description: partial 16S ribosomal RNA
Rfam family: Bacterial small subunit ribosomal RNA
Source: RNAcentral
CCUACGGGAGGCAGCAGUGGGGAAUAUUGGACAAUGGGCGAAAGCCUGAUCCAGCCAUGCCGCGUGUGUGAAGAAGGCCUUCGGGUUGUAAAGCACUUUCAGUGGGGAAGAAAGCCUUGGGGCUAAUACCCUCGAGGAAGGACAUCACCCACAGAAGAAGCACCGGCUAACUCCGUGCCAGCAGCCGCUGUAAUACGGAGGGUGCGAGCGUUAAUCGGAAUUACUGGGCGUAAAGCGCGCGUAGGCGGUCUGAUAAGCCGGUUGUGAAAGCCCCGGGCUCAACCUGGGAACGGCAUCCGGAACUGUCAGGCUAGAGUGCAGGAGAGGAAGGUAGAAUUCCCGGUGUAGCGGUGAAAUGCGUAGAGAUCGGGAGGAAUACCAGUGGCGAAGGCGGCCUUCUGGACUGACACUGACGCUGAGGUGCGAAAGCGUGGGUAGCAAACAGGAUUAGAUACCCCGGUAGUC